AUUCCUACGGGAGGCAGCAGUGGGGAAUCUUGGACAAUGGGCGCAAGCCUGAUCCAGCCAUGCCGCGUGAGUGAUGAAGGCCUUAGGGUCGUAAAGCUCUUUCGCUGGGGAUGAUAAUGACAGUACCCAGUAAAGAAACCCCGGCUAACUCCGUGCCAGCAGCCGCGGUAAUACGGAGGGGGUUAGCGUUGUUCGGAAUUACUGGGCGUAAAGCGCGCGUAGGCGGAUUGGAAAGUUGGGGGUGAAAUCCCGGGGCUCAACCUCGGAACUGCCUCCAAAACUAUCAGUCUAGAGUUCGAGAGAGGUGAGUGGAAUUCCGAGUGUAGAGGUGAAAUUCGUAGAUAUUCGGAGGAACACCAGUGGCGAAGGCGGCUCACUGGCUCGAUACUGACGCUGAGGUGCGAAAGUGUGGGGAGCAAACAGGAUUAGAUACCCUGGUAGUCCACACCGUAAACGAUGAAUGCCAGUCGUCAGCAAGCAUGCUUGUUGGUGACACACCUAACGGAUUAAGCAUUCCGCCUGGGGAGUACGGUCGCAAGAUUAAAACUCAAAGGAAUUGACGGAAU
This 566-nucleotide ribosomal RNA is filed under the name uncultured bacterium. RNAcentral describes it as "bacterial SSU rRNA". It matches the Rfam family "Bacterial small subunit ribosomal RNA", at positions 335 to 919 of the family's 1533-position model. The record is from RNAcentral.